GGAGGGAGGGGGUGGAGGGGGAGCACAAUAAUACAAUUCUGUUUAGGGCACCCAUUUGGCCAGUAGCGGACCUGAUUCUGCCUUAACAUUACACUUGUCACAAACGGAUGGAAAAAUUCUGGAAACAGACGUCUCAAACAGGUUUGAUGAAGUUUUACAUCCUGUAUCAGGAAAGAAGCUCCUUCCCCAACUGCCGCACCGGCACGAAGCGGACAGCCUCGUGCCAAACACACCAGCAGCCGGAAGGACCCUCACGGCGGGGCGGGACCGCUGACGCAACGCCGGCCGGCGAUUGGGGAGUCAGGCGGGAAAAGGCGACAGAGGAGGAGGAUAAAAGGGCGCGCUUCCGGCUAUACGGUGAGAGGAAGACCGACGGUGAACAAACGGAAUUCGUGCGUGCGCUUCAGCGGCCUACAGACGCGCCCACACGGAGUACAACGGAGACAGAUCUGGACUGCUGGCAGGCCGGUCAAGCACACGCACUCCGUAUCUACGAAGCCAUGCUGUUGUAGCACAUGCAGAAUGAGGCCUGGCAUUGUCCUGAUAAAGUAACCAUGGACUUCCCGGGAAAAGACGUUGCCUUGAUGGCAGCAUGUGUCUCUCUUAAACCCCUCAUAUAUACGCCUCAGCGUCAAUGGUACCUUCACACAUAUGCAAGUCACCCAUGCCAUGGGCACUGAUGCACCCCAUACAUUGCACCUUUCACUUAUUACAGUCUGGUUGGUCUUUUUCAUCUUUGUCAGAGAACUCGACAUCCGUUUUUCCCGAAAACAAGCUGAAACAUGGACUCAUCUGACCACAGCACGCCUUUCCACUGCCUUUCAGUCCAUCUGA
Ictalurus punctatus (channel catfish) is the source of this 834-nucleotide long non-coding RNA. The record is from Ensembl. NCBI's taxonomy places the organism in Eukaryota, Metazoa, Chordata, Actinopteri, Siluriformes, Ictaluridae.